Molecule: transfer RNA, 76 nt
Filed under: Candidatus Mailhella merdavium
Lineage: Bacteria; Pseudomonadati; Thermodesulfobacteriota; Desulfovibrionia; Desulfovibrionales; Desulfovibrionaceae
Description: tRNA-Thr
Rfam family: tRNA
About the family: Transfer RNA (tRNA) molecules are approximately 80 nucleotides in length. Their secondary structure includes four short double-helical elements and three loops (D, anti-codon, and T loops). Further hydrogen bonds mediate the characteristic L-shaped molecular structure. tRNAs have two regions of fundamental functional importance: the anti-codon, which is responsible for specific mRNA codon recognition, and the 3' end, to which the tRNAs corresponding amino acid is attached (by aminoacyl-tRNA synthetases). tRNAs cope with the degeneracy of the genetic code in two manners: having more than one tRNA (with a specific anti-codon) for a particular amino acid; and 'wobble' base-pairing, i.e. permitting non-standard base-pairing at the 3rd anti-codon position.
Source: RNAcentral
GCCCAUGUAGCUCAGUAGGUAGAGCACAUCCUUGGUAAGGAUGAGGUCUGCAGUUCAAUUCUGCACAUGGGCUCCA